Molecule: ribosomal RNA, 484 nt
Filed under: uncultured bacterium
Lineage: Bacteria
Description: partial 16S ribosomal RNA
Rfam family: Bacterial small subunit ribosomal RNA
Source: RNAcentral
AUUGAACGCUGGCGGCAGGCCUAACACAUGCAAGUCGAGCGGAUGAAGGGAGCUUGCUCCUGGAUUCAGCGGCGGACGGGUGAGUAAUGCCUAGGAAUCUGCCUGGUAGUGGGGGAUAACGUUCGGAAACGGGCGCUAAUACCGCAUACGUCCUGAGGGAGAAAGUGGGGGAUCUUCGGACCUCACGCUAUCAGAUGAGCCUAGGUCGGAUUAGCUAGUUGGUGGGGUAAAGGCCUACCAAGGCGACGAUCCGUAACUGGUCUGAGAGGAUGAUCAGUCACACUGGAACUGAGACACGGUCCAGACUCCUACGGGAGGCAGCAGUGGGGAAUAUUGGACAAUGGGCGAAAGCCUGAUCCAGCCAUGCCGCGUGUGUGAAGAAGGUCUUCGGAUUGUAAAGCACUUUAAGUUGGGAGGAAGGGCAGUAAGUUAAUACCUUGCGGUUUUGACGUUACCAACAGAAUAAGCACCGGCUAACUUCGUG